UUAUGGAAUUCUGUAGUUCUGUAGUUAUAUAUUAUGGAAUUCUGUAGGUCUGUAGUUAUAUAUUAUGGAAUUCUGUAGGUCUGUAGUUAUAUAUUAUGGAAUUCUAUAGUUCUGUAGUUAUAUAUUAUGGAAUUCUAUAGUUCUGUAGUUAUAUAUUAUGGAAUUCUGUAGUUCUGUAGUUAUAUAUUAUGGAAUUCUGUAGGUCUGUAGUUAUAUAUUAUGGAAUUCUGUAGGUCUGUAGUUAUAUAUUAUGGAAUUCCUUAGGUCUGUAGUUAUAUAUUAUGGAAUUCUAUAGUUCUGUAGUUAUAUAUUAUGGAAUUCUAUAGUUCUGUAGUUAUAUAUUAUGGAAUUCUGUAGUUCUGUAGUUAUAUAUUAUGGAAUUCUGUAGUUCUGUAGUUAUAUAUUAUGGAAUUCUGUAGUUCUGUAGUUAUAUAUUAUGGAAUUCUAUACUUCUGUAGUUAUAUAUUAUGGAAUUCCUUAGGUCUAUAGUUAUAUAUUAUGGAAUUCCUUAGGUCUAUAGUUAUAUUAUUAUGGAAUUCUAUAGAUCUGUAGUUAUAUAUUAUGGAAUUCUGUAGGUCUGUAGUUAUAUAUUAUGGAAUUCUGUCGGUCUGUAGUCCUGCAGUUCUUGUAUUUCUUAUUUCUGCAUUCAAAUAAUUACAUAUUUUUGCAUUUCAUAGUUUCAUAUUUCCGUAGUUCUUAAUUUCUAUAUUAUAUUUAUUACUAUAUUUUAUAGGUCCACAGUUCUGUAUUUCUUAGUUACACAUGGUUGGAGUUUGUAUUUUUGUAUUUUGUAGUGCCUUAUUUCCACAACUGUUUAAUUUCUGUAUUUUGUAGUUAGUUGCAUAUUAUUUAGUUCCACAUUCAUGUAGUUACAUAUUUUUAUAUUUCAUAUAUCCAUAGCUACAUGCUUUAUAGUUACAUAAUUGUGCAUUUGUAGUAGUUAAUUAAUCUCACUUGUUGCUUCUUACCCCAACUAUUUUAUCUUUCCAAAGUUUCCAAAGUAAUGCAUACUGUAAUUCUGAGUCAUAGCUCUGUAUUUUUGUAAUUCAUAGUUUGCUGUAGUUUACUGUACUCUAGACUUGUACAUUAUACUUAAUAUGAAUAAGAUUGAAAGUAAGGCUACAAACACUAACCUGCUCUUCACCUGAAGCUUGUACACUCGGUUAUAAAUUUCAUCUAUAUUUUUAAAUCCAAGUAAAAACGCUGUAUGGCUGAGAUUCUUCUGAAUAUUUCAGUUCUACUGUGUGAGUUGUAGUGUCACCUCUGGGUCUCAGUAAUGAUUAUCCUCACUGCUGGGUGUUUUCCCCUGAUUCUACACUAAUGUGGAACAAAUGGCAUGUUUUCAUCUCAGGCUUCUUACUGUGUCUGAUCUGCUCCGCUCUGGUGCUGGGGCUGCUUUCAUUUUCCAUCUGUUUUAUGGUGUGAGACAGAUUAAAUGGUCGCCUCCUGUUAUACUCAUGAGAGUUCAUUAUGAUUUUAACCCAGACAGUUUUAAAAGACUUAAAAUAGAUAUCUUGUCGUAAUUCCUCCCUUUUCUUGUGAGGUACUAAAGAGGAAAAGUGUUCAAAUGAACGCUGUUUAAUGACGGUGUUUCCACUGAAUAAUGAAAAUUCGCUGUUAAAUGGUAACUAAUAGGGAAUUUUCCAGUUAAACUGAACACUGGUUGAACUGGAAGUGAUGCACAGUAUAAUUUAUCAUUCCUUCCUCUCACAGGAUUCCCGAGACACGGAAUUAGUUCAUAAGCCAAGUAAAGUUUUCACUCUGGAGGAAUUUGAACCUGGCAGACACAGAGUAUAAAAUAAUAUCAUGACUACAAAAAACAACAUUUUGGCUAUAAAUUGUGCAGGGCUUUACUUUAUUUGGACGUUUCCCUGACUUUGGUAAUGUGAUCACAGUUACUGCAUUUCUUUCUAAUACAUGAUGUAUACACCUGUACAAACGCUGUGAAACAUGCAAGAAGUGACGCAUACUGAUUAAUUAUCGUGCAUGUAAUCGUACGGUCAGGAAUUCUCCUUCUCAGUGCACGGCGUGUGCUGCGCUCAUGUUUUUGUUUGAGUUGAUUCUGUGAGAUUUAUUUUCCAGCGCUAUGUGACCGUGUUCUGGUCCUGUCUCCUCCCUGCCCUGUGAUUGGUCUGUAUUCUGAGUUCAUCUGUUGAUUUAGUUCGUCUUUAUACUCCUUUAUAGUGUCGCAUAGUGAAGUGUUAAUUGUAUUGGUUUUGGGGGCACGGUGGUUCAGUGGGGGACUUACUGGUUCAAGUCCUGCCUCUACCCUGUGUGCAUGGAGCUUACAUGUUGUCCCUGUGCUUCUGGGGUUUCCUUCGGUUAUUCCAGUUUCCUCCCCAGUCCCUAUGCUGAUUGGCAUUCCCAAAUUGUCUGUAGUGAUGUGUGUAGGAUUGUUCCCUGAAAUGUAUUGGCCCAGGGUGUCUUCACUUAUGGUCUGCACUUAUAUAGCACUUUUUUAACCUUAGUGGUUCUACAAAGCGCUUUAGACUGGUUCUCAUUCACUGGUUCUCAUUCACCCAUUCACUGGCGCUAGCUUGCCAUCGGGAGCAACUUGGGGUUCAGUGUCUUGCCCAAGGACACUUUGGUAUGUUGAGUCACAUGGGCCAGGAAUCGAACCUCCAACCCUACGAUUAGUGGACAACCCGCUCUACCACCUGGGCCACAGCUGCCCGGAGUUCCCUGUGACCCUGUGUAGGAUAAGUGGUACAGAAAAUGGAUGAAAUGGAUGGAUGGAAGGAUUGGUUUUGACCUUGCUCAAGUUUUCAAUUUUGAAAUGAUGAAUUACGAUGAUGAUUUUUGGAUUAGCUCAAAUAAAUUACACGAAGGGUUUAUGGACUUGUGUCCUGCCUUUAUUCACCGCACGUUAGCCAAACUGACGGUGAUAAUCCAAAGAGUACACUUUAUGUAUCGUACAGUAUGUACUGUAAUGAACACAUACAUACAUACAUACGUAUAUAGCUUGCAAAAUAACUUGCAGGACAAGAAGAUAAAAAGUGGAAAAAUUAGCCAGCGAAUAGAUGUGCAAAAAGCUGCAGUAGUAUUUAUGGAACCAGUAGCAGCGGUAGUGGUUGGAGUUGAAGUGUAGCAGUGAUGACUGGCACGGUAAUACGGUACAGGUCAUGGGGGGAAGCAGAGACAUUUCAGCAGUGUCUGAGGAGAGAAGAGCUGUGUUCUCUGACGGCAGAGGGAAGAAGCUUCUUCUGAAGCGGCUUGUAGUUGAUAUCAGUACUCUGUAUCUUUUGCUGGAUCUUUUGGAGGAGCUGAAAUAUGACAUGUGCUGGGUGGGAGGAGUCAGACGACAUGUUUAGAUCAGAUGUAUUUUAUAUGUACAGAGAUUGCUCGGAUGGUAGGUGCACUGAUGUCUGAUUAUGUCUGAGGCUUUACGCACAAUGCCUUCCAGUGUCCUCUUGGUGUGGGAGUCCAUGUUUCCGUAUCAGACAGAGGACGGAGUAUGUAAGGAUCAGGAUAAGUAUCAAUAGCUGCUUUCUACAGAGACAGUAGAGUCCCUGAUGUGCCUUCUUGAUGAUUGAGGCCACAUUCAGGUCCACUUUAGCAAGCUACUGAUGUGUGUGCACAGGAGUCUGUGAUGGUUAUUGAUUGAUUGCCGGUUCUAACAGGAGCAUUGUGGUUUGGGGAUUUUCCGAAAUCUAUAAUCAGUUGCUUGGUAUUGAAGGUGGUGGGAAUGAGGUCAUCGCUCUCGCACCAUGUCACGGCUCGGGCCACCUCCUUAUGGUAGGACGACCGACUCGUUGUUCUCUGAGAUCGAUCCAAUAUAAUGGUGGUGUCAUCUGCAUAUUUGAAGAACUUCACAGAGACGUUGUGGCUGGAGAAUCAGUUUGUGAAGCGUGAGAACAGAAGUUGGGAGAUGACACAACCCUGAGGUGUACCAGCACGCGCUACUCACAUUCACAACCUGUGUUCUGUUGCUGAGGUCACAGUCAAAUCCUUGCCAGGGUUAGCUGUGUUAAAGUCUAUGAAGAGUACGCUUGGAAGAGUUGUUUCAUUUGGGCGAUGAAUAAUGUGGUGAAGUGCCAGACUGACAGCGUCAUCAGCAGAUCUGUUGAAUUGGGUCCGUAAGUGAUGACGCGUCAACAACGAAAGAAUCGGUGUCAUUGAUCAUCAGCUAAACAGAACAUCAAACUAAUACGAGCCAAACGAACUUGCCUCGCUACCAGUGUGGAUAUAUUUAACCACCAUAUCUGUCCUGACCCCCCCACCUUGCUGAAAACUCCAGCUUGCUAUGAUCUGGUCUGGAAGACCAUCUUUCCCACCUGGUGAGAUAUUUUCCAGCCUCGACGUUUCCCACUUGAUUAAGUAGUCCAUCCGACUAGCUGGAGUUUUCUAACGUUCGUGGCUGACUUUGUUGCCCAUAAUCCUGCUCUGUUAACACAACUCCGCCCCCAUCCGUGUUGAUUCAGGGUUGGAGGCAGGCAGGAGUUCUCUGAUUGGCUGUUUAGACAUGCAAAUCAGUGCAGAGUAAUCAAACAAACAUCGCUCAAGACUCACGUGUGACAGAGAGUUUAAAUUCAGAACUUCUGCUCUGCUGUAGCUAGCUAUCUUUUCCUCCCCACACAGAUGGUAGCUAGGCUAAUUUUUUGGCUGAUAUACUGUUUAUUAUGCAACACUUAGUUCCAGUCGACUAAUUCGAUCGCUCAGGCGGCGUUCCAAGUGUGUUUAUAUUUAGUAUAACCGCACUGGGAUGUUUCACGCUGUGUAUCACUCCGCCCGUCUGUAUUCGCUACCUAAAAUUCCACUUCCUAGUCCGGAACCGUUACUACCGUAGAGUUAGCGAGAUCGUCAGCGGACGUGGCAAACGAUACAUUUCAGCAAUGUAACUUUUUGACUUAACAUACGAAAGCUCGUCAGACGAAGAUGAAACAUUAGAAGAGAAGCCAGUUUCACUGGAAGCACCCUUAACAGGAACGUACAAAUCAUUGUGAGCUAGCUAGCCAAUGUGCUAUAAAGUGGGCGUGGCUUCUUCCAAAUCUAUUUCCACUAUAGGAGCAAAAAUAAAAAGAGGACAUAUUGUGUCCGAAAUGUCAGUUACUCACUAUUAAUUUCUUGUUAUAGAACUGUCGUAUAUAUAUGCAACAUCGCUCUCACAAUCGUGUGGCUAUACUGAAUACCGGCAGGGCUGCGAUUAGCCGAAUAUUCAGUGUAACCGCACUCUUGCUUGUGCGAUAUUGCUUAAGCACAACAGCUUGCACAUUUUUAUUUGUUUACUUAUUUGAAUGCCAAUACAGAUUACCGCCCCCUCCUGGUCUGGAGAACGUUCCGGCAUCUGGUCUUUGCAUCGGGUUUUAAGUGCAGCCGUAUUCGGCAGAAGACGUGGGCCAACGGGAGGUUGACCAUCAGUCAAACUUAGCUGGCGGGUACUUCCUCAGGAGUGGUUUUUGUAAUAAUGAAUAAUAGUAGCGGGAUGAGGUUCGAGCCAAAACAUUUGCGCAGUCCAUCAUUAAAAAGAGUCGGUCUUCGGUUAAACUGUAAUAACAGCUCAGACGCAGCCAGACGUUUGGUUUAAACAUGCGCGUAAUGCUGAGGGUUGUGUUUUUAAGGCCAGUUAGACGUCCUGCUCUCCGUGUAAAACGGGAUGUGAGACAGUUAUUAGGUUUGCAGGAGUUUGCAUAAACCACCUCAUGGAAAUAUCCGAGCGGUUGAAGUGGAUGUAGAUGAUACAGCAGGCUUUGAGCUAUUCGGCGUCACUUCCUUACGUUACUAAAUGUUGAUGAAGAGAUUUAUUAUUUUCACCUGUAACGGAUGUGCUGAGACUGGAGACUCCUUCCGUAGGUUUUCAAUAAAUAUUCUUGCUUGUGCAAUAUUGUUUAAGUACAACAGCUUGCACUUUUAUUUAUUCAUUUAUUUAUUUAUUUCUUUUGGAAUACUAAUACAGAUUACCGCCCCCUCCUGGUCUGGAGAGCAUUCAGGCGUAUUAUCAACAACAAAAUAGUACUAAAGAGUAAGUAAGGAACAAAUGAAAACCCUGCUGAGUGUGUGUGUGUGUGUGUGUGUGUGUGUGUGUGUGUGUGUGUGUGUGUGUGGAAUUUGGACGUCUUCCUGAUUCUUUAUAAUGUUUGAACUGAAUACUUUGUUAUGAGCUUGGCCUUCGUACCUAGACUAAAUCCUGGCCCUUUUGUCUCCCACAUCAGUCGAGUUAAUAAACAUCACGUCCUGCGCUUUGGGUCCAGCUUCAAGCGUGCGUCCUGUGUGUUUUUUUAACACACCCAGCUUAACCUGAUGAUGAACCACUUCUGACCAAAACCGAAUCCUGACUUCUGGCACCGCUGUUUGUUUCAUUUCCUCCCGGCUCACCGCAGUACAGGACAUUUCCAGGUCCAUCUCGUAGGAGCGUUUCUUUCCAGAAAUGAUUCUUGGACCUCGUGGACGUUAUUCAGCCGUUAAAGGUUAAAGUGAAAUGUCCUUCAGACAUCCGAGCUGAGGAAUUCCACAUCCUGAUAACCACAGAGAAACUCUGACACUGGAGACUCCUUCCGUAAAUGUUAAACAAACGUCUCUCUGCUCUUUAGAAAAGUUCAUUUAUGGGUGUGAGCUGUACUGUGAACGAGCUGUUGCUAUAGAAACGAUAAGGCACUAGAACGAGCGCAUUGAUGUAAACCUGCGCUGCUGUUCUGGAGAAGUAACACACGAACAGUAGAGUUAGGAGAGUUUUGGGGAUCGUCCUGGAUGGAAAAUGUUUUAAAUGUUUUAGGUUAGGAUUUUGGACCUGAAUAUUUUCUUAAGGUUCAGUGAUAUGACAGCUGGAGGGUUGGAUUACUGUUAGACUGCUGUAGUGUGUGUGUGUGUGUGUGUGUGUGUGUGUGUGUGUGUGUGUGUGUGUGUGUGUGUGUGUGUCUGUGUGUGUUUGCCCUGGUCUCCUUCUGUUUCUGUUUUGUCUGGGUGGAAUGUUUGAUUCCUUUCUUAUUAUGUGACUUUCCAGUCAUUAUGGCUUUCCUCUAUUUUUUUAUUCCUUUUUCACCUUUCUCUCUCUCUCUCUCUCUCUCUCUCUCUGUCUCUCUCUGUCUCUCUCUCUCUCUCUCUCUCUCUCUCUCU
This is a long non-coding RNA of Ictalurus punctatus (channel catfish), 7050 nucleotides long. Lineage: Eukaryota; Metazoa; Chordata; Actinopteri; Siluriformes; Ictaluridae. The record is from Ensembl.